This is a non-coding RNA of Equus caballus (horse), 511 nucleotides long. NCBI's taxonomy places the organism in Eukaryota, Metazoa, Chordata, Mammalia, Perissodactyla, Equidae. The record is from RefSeq and is a predicted model, not a curated record.
GAAGUACAGAGGCACCGCGUGAGUGUCGAGCAGGCUGAGUGUGCUCAAAAAUCAGCAAAAAGCCUGUGUGGGUGGCAUGGAAUGAGGAAGAGGAAAUGCAGAGAUAUAAUCGAUGUAAAUAAACUCAAGACCACAGAAAAUAGGAAGAUGCAGCAAAGUAGGAAGUGUACAGCAAGAUUACCUCACCAUCGUUAACAGAUGUUCUCAUCUUCCCAACAGUUUGCUGUAUGUCAUCAGACACAAAGAUGCAAAGAAAUGUAAUAUCAAGCAAAAUCCUCUUCUGGCCAACCCUCCUAUGGAGCUACAGAGUGAAGGAGAUUCUGGAAAACAAUUCUCCACUUAACAAAGACAGAUAGUAGGAGAUACCACAAUGAGUAUGUGCCAUAUUGGGACUCCUCCUUCAACCUGGAUAAGAAUGAAGAAUACAUGGAAUUGAUCUACAGCUGGGACAGAGCUUCAGUCAAUCAACAGCCCUUAUAAACAUGAACAAGAAAUAAACACUUGGUGCAAU